CCACAUGAGUUCCUCUUCUUUCCUAAUAAAACUAACCCCUCUUCUUUUUGAUAGAUAAAAUCUUUUUUGUUUUUUUAAUGCAAAGAGAUUACAUGAAAGGUCACAGAAAAUGCAAAAUAAAUUUGAGAGAUAAGCAUAAGCAUACAAGUUGCUAGCUUUUAAAAACAUCAAAAGCUCAAGAAACUAGGGAGGAGCUAAAGAAGAAAUAGCCUCCAUAUAUACUCACUAGAGAUCCUUAAUUGAAUGGUCCACGAUUGCCUCAGCCUCCAGGCCCUCCACGACCAUGGUUUCUGCGUCCACCGACAUGAGUAUAUUACAUCUCUUGAACCUUUUGAGCUGCCUUUAUUGGUCAUCCUUCUCAAGAUCUCUAACUCUCUAAG
Arabidopsis thaliana (thale cress) is the source of this 380-nucleotide long non-coding RNA. RefSeq annotates it as other RNA. Lineage: Eukaryota; Viridiplantae; Streptophyta; Magnoliopsida; Brassicales; Brassicaceae. The transcript has a single exon. The record is from RefSeq.